This 1372-nucleotide ribosomal RNA is filed under the name uncultured bacterium. RNAcentral describes it as "bacterial SSU rRNA". It matches the Rfam family "Bacterial small subunit ribosomal RNA", at positions 28 to 1381 of the family's 1533-position model. The record is from RNAcentral.
GAUGAACGCUGGCGGCGUGCCUAAUACAUGCAAGUCGAGCGAACGGACGAGAAGCUUGCUUCUCUGAUGUUAGCGGCGGACGGGUGAGUAACACGUGGAUAACCUACCUAUAAGACUGGGAUAACUUCGGGAAACCGGAGCUAAUACCGGAUAAUAUUUUGAACCGCAUGGUUCAAAAGUGAAAGACGGUCUUGCUGUCACUUAUAGAUGGAUCCGCGCUGCAUUAGCUAGUUGGUAAGGUAACGGCUUACCAAGGCAACGAUGCAUAGCCGACCUGAGAGGGUGAUCGGCCACACUGGAACUGAGACACGGUCCAGACUCCUACGGGAGGCAGCAGUAGGGAAUCUUCCGCAAUGGGCGAAAGCCUGACGGAGCAACGCCGCGUGAGUGAUGAAGGUCUUCGGAUCGUAAAACUCUGUUAUUAGGGAAGAACAUAUGUGUAAGUAACUGUGCACAUCUUGACGGUACCUAAUCAGAAAGCCACGGCUAACUACGUGCCAGCAGCCGCGGUAAUACGUAGGUGGCAAGCGUUAUCCGGAAUUAUUGGGCGUAAAGCGCGCGUAGGCGGUUUUUUAAGUCUGAUGUGAAAGCCCACGGCUCAACCGUGGAGGGUCAUUGGAAACUGGAAAACUUGAGUGCAGAAGAGGAAAGUGGAAUUCCAUGUGUAGCGGUGAAAUGCGCAGAGAUAUGGAGGAACACCAGUGGCGAAGGCGACUUUCUGGUCUGUAACUGACGCUGAUGUGCGAAAGCGUGGGGAUCAAACAGGAUUAGAUACCCUGGUAGUCCACGCCGUAAACGAUGAGUGCUAAGUGUUAGGGGGUUUCCGCCCCUUAGUGCUGCAGCUAACGCGUUAAGCACUCCGCCUGGGGAGUACGACCGCAAGGUUGAAACUCAAAGGAAUUGACGGGGACCCGCACAAGCGGUGGAGCAUGUGGUUUAAUUCGAAGCAACGCGAAGAACCUUACCAAAUCUUGACAUCCUUUGACAACUCUAGAGAUAGAGCUUUCCCCUUCGGGGGACAAAGUGACAGGUGGUGCAUGGUUGUCGUCAGCUCGUGUCGUGAGAUGUUGGGUUAAGUCCCGCAACGAGCGCAACCCUUAAGCUUAGUUGCCAUCAUUAAGUUGGGCACUCUAAGUUGACUGCCGGUGACAAACCGGAGGAAGGUGGGGAUGACGUCAAAUCAUCAUGCCCCUUAUGAUUUGGGCUACACACGUGCUACAAUGGACAAUACAAAGGGCAGCGAAACCGCGAGGUCAAGCAAAUCCCAUAAAGUUGUUCUCAGUUCGGAUUGUAGUCUGCAGCUCGACUACAUGAAGCUGGAAUCGCUAGUAAUCGUAGAUCAGCAUGCUACGGUGAAUACGUUCCCGGGUCU